RNAcentral lists this long non-coding RNA (1064 nucleotides) under Numida meleagris (helmeted guineafowl). Its description in RNAcentral is "lncRNA (ENSNMEG00000001033.1)". Lineage: Eukaryota; Metazoa; Chordata; Aves; Galliformes; Numididae. The record is from RNAcentral.
GGAAGGAGACACGGGAAGGGGACAUGGGAAGGGAACAUGGGAAGGGGACACGGGAAGGGGACAAGGGAAGGGAACAUGGGAAGGGAACAUGGGAAGGGAACAUGGGAAGGGGACAAGGGAAGGGAACAUGGGAAGGGAACAUGGGAAGGGGACACGGGAAGGAGACUCGGGAAGGGGACAUGGGAAGGGGACACGGGAAGGGAACACGAGAAGGGGACACAGGAAGGGGACAUGGGAAGGGGACAUGGGAGGGAACAUGGGAAGGGAACAUGGGAAGGGGACAUGGGAAGGGGACACGGGAAGGGGACACGGGAAGGGGGACACAGGAAGGGGACACGGGAAGGGAACAUGAGAAGGGGACACGGGAAGGAAAUACAGGAAGGGGACAUGGGAAGGGAACACAGGAGGGAACAUGGGAAGGGAACACGGGAAUGAGACACGGAAAGGGGACACAGGAAGAGGACACAGGAGGGGGACACGGGAAGGGCAUACGGGAAGGGAACAUGGGAAGGGGACACAGGAAGGAGAUACAGGAAGGGGACAUGGGAAGGGGACACGGGAGGGAACAUGGGAAGGGGAUACAGGAAGGGAACAUGGGAGGGGGACACGGGAAGGGGACACGGGAAGGGGACACGGGAAGGGGACAUGGGAAGGGGACACGGGAAGGGAACACGAGAAGGGGACAUGGGAAGGGGACACAGGAAGGGGACACGGGAGGGAACAUGGGAAGGGGACAUGGGAAGGGGACAUGGGAAGGGGAUACAGGAGGGGGACACGGGAAGGGAACACGAGAAGGGGUCAUGGGAAGGGGACACGGGAGGGAACAUGGGAAGGGAACAUGGGAAGGGGACACGGGAAGGGGAUACAGGAGGGGGACACAGGAAGAGGACACAGGAGGGGGACACGGGAAGGGCAUAUGGGAAGGAGAUACAGGAAGAGGACACAGGAGGGGGACACGGGAAGGGAACAUGGGAAGGGGACAUGAGAAGGAGAUACAUGAAGGGGACAUGGGAAGGAGAUACAGGAAGGGGACACGGGAAGGGGACACGGGAGGGAACAUGGGA